AGUUAGAACUUUUUAACACUUUUAUUCUUGGUAUACUCUUGUCCAGGGGGCAAGAUUCAGCCAGCGUGGUGGGCAGCACCUUGUUGGUUGUCUCCGGGAAGAACAAAACCAAUCCCGAGCAGGUGAAGCCGAAUAGGGCGAAUAGUAGGUGAGGCGCAAAUUUGUAGUAGGGGAUCUGUACGGGGAAUCCAUUGUAACUUGUCGGCUAUUAACUUUUAAGCUAAGGUUUAAUUACUAGUAGAGUGGUCUGGGGGGACAGCAUGGAGCCAAAGCGACCCAUACUUGAGCAGGAGGAGAGCAUGCUGUUCCUGCAGUUGGUGGGAAAGAUCUCGGAGGUGAAGAAGUACAGGAUCAUAAAGCAAGGAAGUAUAGGAUUGAAGAGGUCACAGGGUACACUAAUCCAGCAAACAACAUUUUAGUCUCAGUUAACCACGAAUUAGGUCCCAUGCUUACCUUCAUCCGUGGCAGCCACUGCAAGGAGGAGGACUGCACAAGUGAACUGACAGGAGCUGAGCGACCGUCGCCGUCCUAUCCAGUUCAUGAGUGUGGUGGCCAUCAGGAUACCAGGCAGCUGCAUAAGACCAGUCACGCUAAAGUUUUCGAACUUGCUCCCACUCAACUGGGCAGAAUGCAGGCUCAGACCGAGGGCGAUCAGGGUGUGCGUGAACCACAUGAAGCAGAACAGGAAAGAUCUGACGGAAACUUAAAAUGCUUUAUUCUCACGGAUUGGCUAGAUAACCCACAAACUGUCCAAUGUUGUUGACGGUUCCCACCAUUGACAGCUUCCACUGGUCAAAGCAGAAAAUGUUAAACUGUGGUAAUAUAAAUUAGAUCGGCGUUGCUGGAAGACACCUUGUAUCAUACCUCAGCUGCUAUUGUCUUUUCGCCGUCCGUCAUCUUAUAGCCAGCAUCGCAGGGGACCCUCUGACCAACAUCAAAGCUGCUGACAUUGCACGAAGGUUGACCCACGAGGUUGGAUCGCACGGCGUACUGCUCACAUUGAGCCCAGUUGCCGUGACGUUGUGGAGUGGUGAAAUUUAGGAAUGGUUCUUCAUACCUGGAGUCUAACCCAUCGCACAUUGUGAUGUUGCACCUAUGAAGAAUUUCCGGCGUAAAAGUACAGCACCAUAACCAUUUCACUGACCCACCUGUGGGGCACAUCGCUGGCGGUGAAGACGUAGGAAAUGGAGUAAAAGGCGUUGCAGAUGAUGGGCAGGCAAAGCAGCAAGUAGUUGAAGACUUGAAAAUGUCCGAACUGGCCAAUCUCAACGAUGAUCGCGUCCAGCUGGUUCUCCUCUGACGUCUUCGGUAUGUCUAUGUCACCCGAUCCGGAUUUAGGCUCCCCCGAAACCAACUUCGAUUGGUCCAGCUUUAACAUGCUGCUGUCGAUAUCGCCAAUUGCAGCCAAUCCUGCUUAGAAUGGCACUCGCGCGAUGUCUAGCUCCCUU
Molecule: non-coding RNA, 1448 nt
Organism: Drosophila melanogaster (fruit fly)
Lineage: Eukaryota; Metazoa; Arthropoda; Insecta; Diptera; Drosophilidae
Source: Ensembl